AUUGAACGCUGGCGGCAGGCCUAACACAUGCAAGUCGAGCGGAUGAAGGGAGCUUGCUCCUGGAUUCAGCGGCGGACGGGUGAGUAAUGCCUAGGAAUCUGCCUGGUAGUGGGGGAUAACGUCCGGAAACGGGCGCUAAUACCGCAUACGUCCUGAGGGAGACAGUGGGGGAUCUUCGGACCUCACGCUAUCAGAUGAGCCUAGGUCGGAUGAGCUAGUUGGUGGGGUAAAGGCCUACCAAGGCGACGAUCCGUAACUGGUCUGAGAGGAUGAUCAGUCAGAUGGGAACAGAGACACGGUCCAGACACCGAGAGGAGGACGCAGUGGGGAAUAUUAGAGGAGGGGGGAGUGGCGAAUCCAGGCAAGCGGGGGAUAGGAAGAAGGACCUCUGAUGGGUGAGCGCUGAAGGUUGUGGGGUAGUGCAGUAAUUUAAUACCGGGCGAUAAUGACGGUACCGACAGAAUAAGCACCGGCUAACUUCGUG
RNAcentral lists this ribosomal RNA (484 nucleotides) under uncultured bacterium. RNAcentral's name for it is "partial 16S ribosomal RNA". It matches the Rfam family "Bacterial small subunit ribosomal RNA", at positions 29 to 507 of the family's 1533-position model. The record is from RNAcentral.